GCUGGGCGCGGUGGUGUAUGCCUGUAAUCCCAGAGUCUCAGGAGGCUGAGACAAAAGGAUCAUGAGUUCAAAGUCAGCCUCAACAAGGCACUAAGCAACUCAGUGAGACCCUGUCUCUA
Molecule: small RNA, 119 nt
Filed under: Marmota monax (woodchuck)
Lineage: Eukaryota; Metazoa; Chordata; Mammalia; Rodentia; Sciuridae
Source: RNAcentral